Molecule: non-coding RNA, 117 nt
Filed under: Homo sapiens (human)
Lineage: Eukaryota; Metazoa; Chordata; Mammalia; Primates; Hominidae
Source: Rfam by way of RNAcentral
GCCGGGUGUGGUGGCUCACGCCUGUAAUCCCAGCACUUUGGGAGGCUGAGGUGGGUGGAUCACCUGAGGUCAGGAGUUCAAGACCAGCCUGGCCAACAUGGUGAAACCCCGUCUCUA